CCUACGGGUGGCAGCAGUGGGGAAUAUUGCACAAUGGGGGAAACCCUGAUGCAGCAACGCCGCGUGAGCGAUGAAGGCCUUCGGGUCGUAAAGCUCUGUCCUAAGGGAAGAAUACUGACGGUACCUUAGGAGGAAGCCCCGGCUAACUACGUGCCAGCAGCCGCGGUAAUACGUAGGGGGCUAGCGUCAUCCGGAAUUACUGGGCGUAAAGGGUGGGUAGGCGCCCAUUCAAGUCAGAGGUGAAGGGCUACGGCUCAACCGUAGUAAGCCUUUGAAACUGUAGGGCUUGAGUGCAGGAGAGGAGAGUGGCAUUCCCAGUGUGGCGGUGAAAUGCGUAGAUAUUUGGAGGAACGCCAGUUGCGAAGGCAGCUCUCUUGACUGUAACCGACGCUGAGGCACGAAAGCUGGGGGAGCGAACAGGAUUAGAUACCCUAGUAGUC
This 440-nucleotide ribosomal RNA is filed under the name uncultured bacterium. RNAcentral's name for it is "bacterial SSU rRNA". It matches the Rfam family "Bacterial small subunit ribosomal RNA", at positions 338 to 795 of the family's 1533-position model. The record is from RNAcentral.